RNAcentral lists this ribosomal RNA (702 nucleotides) under Sordariomycetes sp. genotype 348. RNAcentral's name for it is "eukaryotic LSU rRNA". The stretch from base 124 to 702 matches the Rfam family "Eukaryotic large subunit ribosomal RNA", at positions 1 to 592 of the family's 3401-position model. The record is from RNAcentral. Lineage: Eukaryota; Fungi; Ascomycota; Sordariomycetes.
UACGGCUGCCGUAGGCCCCGAAAGGUAGUGGCGGGCUCGCUAAGUCUCCGAGCGUAGUAGAAUCCUAUCUCGCUAUGGACGGCUUCGCGGGUUCCGGCCGUUAAACACCCCCUUAUACAAGGUUGACCUCGGAUCAGGUAGGAAUACCCGCUGAACUUAAGCAUAUCAAUAAGCGGAGGAAAAGAAACCAACAGGGAUUGCCCCAGUAACGGCGAGUGAAGCGGCAACAGCUCAAAUUUGAAAUCUGGCUUCGGCCCGAGUUGUAAUUUGUAGAGGAUGCUUUUGGUGAGGUGCCUUCUGAGUUCCCUGGAACGGGACGCCAGAGAGGGUGAGAGCCCCGUAUAGUCGGACACCGAACCUCUGUAAAGCUCCUUCGACGAGUCGAGUAGUUUGGGAAUGCUGCUCAAAAUGGGAGGUAUAUCUCUUCUAAAGCUAAAUAUAGGCCAGAGACCGAUAGCGCACAAGUAGAGUGAUCGAAAGAUGAAAAGCACUUUGAAAAGAGGGUUAAAUAGCACGUGAAAUUGUUGAAAGGGAAGCGCUUGUGACCAGACUUGUGCCGGGUUGAUCAUCCAGUGUUCUCACUGGUGCACUCUGCCCGGCUCAGGCCAGCGUCGGUUCUCGCAGGGGGACAAAAGCUUCGGGAACGUGGCUCCUCCGGGAGUGUUAUAGCCCGCUGCUCAAUACCCUUGUGGGGACCGAGGU